GAUGAACGCUGGCGGCGUGCUUAACACAUGCAAGUCGAACGGAAAGGCCCAAGCUUGCUUGGGUACUCGAGUGGCGAACGGGUGAGUAACACGUGGGUGAUCUGCCCUGCACUUCGGGAUAAGCCUGGGAAACUGGGUCUAAUACCGGAUAGGACCACUUCUUGGAUGUUGUGGUGGAAAGUUUUUUCGGUGUGGGAUGAGCUCGCGGCCUAUCAGCUUGUUGGUGGGGUAAUGGCCUACCAAGGCGUCGACGGGUAGCCGGCCUGAGAGGGUGUACGGCCACAUUGGGACUGGGAUACGGCCCAGACUCCUACGGGAGGCAGCAGUGGGGAAUAUUGCACAAUGGGCGCAAGCCUGAUGCAGCGACGCCGCGGGGGGGAUGACGGCCUUCGGGUUGUAAACUCCUUUCGCUAGGGACGAAGCGUUUUGUGACGGUACCUGGAGAAGAAGCACCGGCUAACUACGUG
Molecule: ribosomal RNA, 467 nt
Filed under: uncultured bacterium
Lineage: Bacteria
Description: partial 16S ribosomal RNA
Rfam family: Bacterial small subunit ribosomal RNA
Source: RNAcentral